This 697-nucleotide long non-coding RNA is filed under the name Homo sapiens (human). RNAcentral describes it as "HSALNT0145120". Lineage: Eukaryota; Metazoa; Chordata; Mammalia; Primates; Hominidae. The record is from RNAcentral.
AGGCUUCCACUAUGACGACGCUUUGUAACAAGUAACCUACAAACUGCGAUGACAACAGACCAAGCUUCCUUUCUCCCAGGUCUGCAGGUGAGCCCGGCCCUCCCUCCAGGCCCCUGUGCACUCAGGUCCACCCCAUUGUCUCUGUCGUGGGACCCGCGGCUGCCAGGCUGGCUCUUCUCUCCGCGCAUGACGACGGUGUGGAGGCCAAGCCCGACAACCAGGCCGAGGGACAGACCCCGUCAUGCCUGACAGCCUGUGGGUCAAAGCCACUCACAGGCUGAGCCCAGUGUCAAUGACUCAGGAAAAAGCGCUCUGCCUCCUCCGGCAGGAAGCAUGGGCAGAGUGUGAAGUGCGGUCCAGACGCAGGGAGGGAGCGACAGGCUGCAGACCAGACGCCACCCAGCCGUGGUAGAGUCCCUGCAGCCAGCAGCACGCUGAGGUCUGCGCCUGCCACCAGUGCCCCCCCAGGUCUCCAGCAGUGGAAUGUGGGCCCCUCUUCCUCAUCUCCCGGGCUCUGGCCGAGCCAUCCUCCCGGCCCAGCCCUGCAGUCCCAUCCCAGGGCUAAGAGGGAGCCAUGGUCAUGCCCUGACGUGCCCAUGGAGAGGACAGAGGGAGCAGCGGCUUGCCCACCAGCUGUGGACUUGAUGCUCCCCACAGCCCUGUAGACUGGGGGUCUCACCAGGCCCCACACGCUCUU